RNAcentral lists this ribosomal RNA (331 nucleotides) under uncultured eukaryote. RNAcentral describes it as "partial 18S ribosomal RNA". It matches the Rfam family "Eukaryotic small subunit ribosomal RNA", at positions 1470 to 1796 of the family's 1831-position model. The record is from RNAcentral.
CCCUUAGAUGUUCUGGGCCGCACGCGCGCUACACUGUUCGACGCAGCGAGUCUUAACCUUGACCGAAAGGUUUGGGUAAUCUUCAGCAAAGUCGAACGUGAUGGGGAUCGAUCAUUGCAAUUAUUGAUCGUGAACGAGGAAUUCCUAGUAAGUGCAAGUCAUCAGCUUGCGCUGAUUACGUCCCUGCCCUUUGUACACACCGCCCGUCGCUACUACCGAUUGAAUGGUUUAGUGAGAUCUCUGGAUUGACGCUGGCUAGGGGGCGACCCUUGGCCAGACUGUUGAGAAACCGCUCAAACUUGAUCAUUUAGAGGAAGUAAAAGUCGUAACA